RNAcentral lists this long non-coding RNA (1117 nucleotides) under Agrilus planipennis (emerald ash borer). Its description in RNAcentral is "uncharacterized LOC108743164, transcript variant X3". The record is from RNAcentral. Lineage: Eukaryota; Metazoa; Arthropoda; Insecta; Coleoptera; Buprestidae.
GUGUUUUUCUGUGCUAAGGCACUUUUUUGAAAUAAUAGUUACAGUUUGUCUUUAAUUUGUUAUAAAGGAUUUUUAUACUAUUCUUGGAUUUUAAUUAGUCGUAAUUUAAGUUUAAUGAAAAUACAGUUGUUUGGGGAAGAAGUGUUGCAGAUAACGAUCUAAGGGGCCUCGUCGUGCUGAUUAUUACAAUGGGUGUUGGUAAUACCAUGCGUGGAAAAGGUUUGAAAUGGGGAACUAUUGAGAAUGUGAACAAACGAAAGGUCAAUAAUAAAAAGGAAAGAUGGGAUGCUGGAGGUUUGGAAAUGCAAAGAUCUGUUCAGGAUAGGAAGAAGUAGAGAUGGACCAUUGCAGGGGUUAGUUUUACAAGUUCAACAAUAGAUAUUCUUCUUUUGAUAGUUGCUUGAGAAAGAAGAAAGAGACGCAAGAAAGGAAGUAGGAGAUCGGGGUAGGAUGAAAGGACGCAGGAGACUGAUAUUGGAUUGUUGCUUGAGAAAGAAGAGAGAGACGCUAGAAAGCAAGCAGGAGAUUGGGGAAGGAUAAAAGGAAGCAGGAGACUGAGGUUGGAACGCUUAAUUGUUUUCCUUUUCCUUCCUGGGGAAGGACUGAGGUCCAGUGGAGCUUUCGUGCUGCAUUAAGGAUGCAAUGAUGGAUCCUGAUCACAUCGGACGUCAUCACCAUCUUCGGCCGUUACUGCAUCCAUGUGCUGCUCCACCAUCUACCAGAGGACUGGACCUCGUUCGGGAUUUUCGGUCGGGAGUGUUUCGGGAGUGUCAUGGAGCGUCCAAAUUCGAAUUUGGAUGUCUCCAUGCCUGCGAUCUCGGAAUUUUCGACGUCCCGAGACUCGGAAACUUCGGAAUUCGGAUCUCGGGGUUGCCAAAACGAUUAAUCCUUCGGGAUUAAUCUGUUUUGGAGAUCCUGAGAUUUGGAUUUCGAAGUUUCUGAAACUCGGUAUCUCGAAACUUCCGAAAUUUCAAGCAUGGGGACUUCCAGUUCGAAUUUGGAUGCUCCAAGCGUCUGGGCCUUGUCCCGGACGGUCUUCGAAUUAACAAAACCUUUCGCGCUAAACCUGGUAGGCGUGAAAAAUUCAUUUUUAUAAAUAAAACACAUCGUAAGGUUC